AGGUUCGAGAUCACCUGGCUGGGUGGGCACGCCUCUGGGAGUCGGAGCUGAGCUGGGUGGGCUGGGUUAGGCUGGAGCCUGCCCUAGAGGGCGAAGUACUAACCUACCCCCGCCCCCAUCCCAAGGUUCGGGCUGGGCAGCCAGGUCGGCGGCUUGGGUUCGGCACCGGUCCGCGUCCCCCUCCCCCCGGCUGCGCUCCAUCCCUUAGGAAGUGACCAGAACGUCCCAAGGCAGAGGCCAGUCGGAGAGUGACUUCCUACUUUCAAGAUGCUUCCAGUCCGGCACCCGGAUGGGUUGUGGGUAGAGGGAGGAGGAGACUGAAAACUAACUUUCUGUGAACAUCGUGUAAUGGCUGCUGGGGAGGGGCAGGUGCCAGGGUCCGUUCCCGGGUGUGGGGCUGGGGAAAGGUGCGGGCGUUCUGACAAGAGUCCACAACCGCAACGCGAGCUGAUUUUGCAGAGGAGCCGACAUUUUUUUUGGGGGGGGGGGCAGACCUUCGGGAGCAGGAAAGAUGAAGACACCGGCGGCAAAGGUCUCUUUUUAGCAUAGGGACGGAAGUUUACCGAACAUACUUUAUCUAAUACCCACAAGACCGUGCUGCUGCUGAAGGGGACAUUAAACAGAAUUUGUGGGCUCUUCCAGGCGAUCGCUCCUUUUGUGGAAGGAUCAGCAGGUGAUUGGGUCCACAUCCUCAUCCUCAGCAGGCACUGGUCUGCUCAGAUGCCACAGUGGAGUAUGUUAAACAAGAAUUCGUUCCUGAAGUACUGUGAUGGAGGCUGGGGAUUAAGAAGCCAGGGUGCAUACCCUGUGGUUCCAUGAGUACAGACCUGGAGCUCCUGGAAAAAUGAGGACAUCACAUCUGGAAUGGGUAUUAUCCUGAGAGCCUCCAAAAUCAGUGAUGUUGCAGAAGGCAGGACAAGCAUUCAAUUGGCUUCUUUAUUUAACCUCAGCAAUCCUGGUGGGUAUUAUGCUCAAAUUUACAAAUGAACAAGAAGACAGAAAUAUGAACAGUCUGAGUGACUUCUAAGAUCACAAAGGCUUGGAGUGGUUCCAAAACCUUUGAUUUUGCUGUUGUUGUUUGUUUUUGAUAUGGCAUUUAACAUAAAGGUCAAGCAGAAGUUGAAUCCUUUAUAGAUCUUUGUUUUUUAUUUAUUUAUUUAUUUUCUGUAUUUCACAUAGUAUAGUUGUUAAGAAUACAAGCUCUGAAGACUGAGUGCCUUCAUAGAUGUCCUAGCUCUUUGUCCUCUUAAAACUUGAAGUGUUUUUGAACAGUGCCUGAGCCUAGCCAAGGGCCCCCCAAAGCAUUAGCAGUUGUGAACCUUUUUCUCCUGUUCUCAUCUGGCCGCGCCUACAGCCUGCUUUGUGUCCAGAACUACAUCCUCGGUCUAUGCCCUAUCGGCUCCCAUCUGGAUCCCCAGCCACUUGGUGCUUGUGGCUGUCUUUCUGUCCACCCUGCAGCAGUAUGUUCCCUUCUGGCUUUAGUGGCUGAGUGGCUUCUUUUGCUGGGUCUGGCUGGCUUUUCUAUGGCUUCCCUACUCUACCAUCCAACACCAAGACUGAUUUCAUGGCCCCAGACAUCCUCCUUUGCUUUCAGAAAUAUUCUCAGUGGCAACCCUAAUUUCAUUUCUCAGAGAAGGUGACUCUACCUCUAGGCUUUCCCACCAAUCUCUCUCGUCUCCAAAACCCAGAGCAGAAGGAGAAUCACCAGGGUUUCUAUUGCCCUCUUCCCUCCCCUUCAGUGAACUCUCAGUUAGAGCCAGGACCAGCUCCUGCCAGUAGAGACUAGUCUAGGUCACAAAUAUUGUGCUACCCAAUGGGCCACUUGUACUCAGCACUGUUGGGCACCCAGCUCCCAGCCUCACCUCUUUUAACCAUUCUUGCAUCAUGUAUUCCUAAAUGAGCUUACCCAACAGUUCCCUAUUCUGUUUUCCAAAGGUCUGUUAGCAACUCAUUUGAAUUUUACACGUGAAGUUGCUGUGAGCAACGUUCCUUUCACUCUGAGAUUGGGGCAAAAUGUUGCAAGUGGGUUGCCCUAUUUCUUUAUCAAAAGAAUAUUCCCUUGGCAAAGCCUGAUCAAAAGUACUCUUUCCCCACCCUCUGCACUGGCUUCGACACGGAAACAACAAUGGGGCUUUGAGGAGCCUCUGAUACACGAACCCAACUUCUAACUGCAAGAGGACCUGCUGCUCUCUCCCCUGCUGCUACAAAGGCACCUCCUCCCAUCCAGUUUUGAAAGCCAAGAACUUCCCAGUCAUCUUUUGCACUUCCCUCUUCCUCACUAGACAUCGCCCCGUCUGUCCACUAUGAUCACAGCUCACCAUCCACCUGCGUGACUCAACUUCACAUCCUCUCCAGCCCCAGAGACCCAAAGCCCUGACUUCUGAUUGCUCUCCCCAAGCCAGAAGGAUCUCAGUGGGAUCAUUCCAGAGAGCACACCACUUCAUCUCCAUGGCCUGCUUAAGCUCUUCAUGCCCCCCCCCACGAUCCAAAUCUGGAGUUGCCUUCAAGGCCCCCCAGUCAGGGGCUCUCUUAUCUUAUUCCUGGGCUCAGUCUCACUCCUAAACCUAUGAUGCUCUCCCUCCCUCUCUGAAAGUCCGCCUGGUCGUGACUCCUCAGUACCACCUGUCUUCUGCCGGGCACUCAUGCCCAGUGUCCUGGGUUGCAAGAUACCUGUGCAUGGUGGUUCUCAGUGGGCAGUUACUCAGUGGCUAACCAAGCCUGUCAGGCACGCUGUGGUGUAUGAAUCUGCUUGGCCAGGUGCAUGCGGCGUAUCCUUAUCAACAUGGAGGCUAGCUUGUACAGCCAGUGUGUGCCAGCUCUACCCACUGUCCUAGGCUCCCCCUGACCUGACUGAUAACUUCAGUUGUGUUCCAGAGUAAUAGCAACGUUAUCAUGGCCUCUGAAUUGCCUUUUGUAGUUCGUAUUAUUUAUUUUAAGAUUGAUGCAAAGUUUUUGCUAUAAAAUCAACUGACUUCGCUUACUCAACAACUUAACAAAGGCUAUGGGUCUGACACAGUAACAGCAAUCUUGAUGAACCUGAACCCCCAAGUUACAGUUUGGGACUUGGGGUAUAGUUCAAUGAUAAAGCAUGUGUUCAGCUGUUCAAAGCCCUGGAUGCCAUCAUUGGAACAACAACAACAAAAAAGUUAUUCUGGCUCUGCCUUUCUCCAGAAGGUAGGUGCUGUGAACAGAACCUGCUUUUCAGCUGCACUGAAAGACUAAAAAGGGAGAAUUUAGUUCAAGGCAAAGCCUUGAGUGUCCCUUGCCUACCCUUUUCCUCCUUUCUCC
This is a non-coding RNA of Peromyscus maniculatus bairdii (prairie deer mouse), 3288 nucleotides long. The record is from RefSeq and is a predicted model, not a curated record. NCBI's taxonomy places the organism in Eukaryota, Metazoa, Chordata, Mammalia, Rodentia, Cricetidae.